Molecule: long non-coding RNA, 321 nt
Filed under: Cotesia glomerata
Lineage: Eukaryota; Metazoa; Arthropoda; Insecta; Hymenoptera; Braconidae
Description: uncharacterized LOC123264676
Source: RNAcentral
UAUUCAUCCUACAAAUCCUAUAAACAACAAAAUUUAUCAAUUAGAAUUUAUGAAAGAAAAUUUGGAUCCUACGCCUGCAAUGAUUGACGAACAUCGUUUUAUUCAUAAGUUUUCAUCAAUAACUGUUGAUAACGAUAAAUCUCCCGAAAAACCUCUGAAAGAAAUAUUCACUUUGCCGUAGGAUUAUUUACUGAAGAAAAAAAUAAUAAAAAUUGAAAAAACAGGCAAGUCAAAGUUACCAUCUGUGGGGAUCUCUGAUGAAUGGUACAAACAAUUAAAAAAAGAAAAGUUAAAAAACAUGAAAGAAGAAAAACUUAAAAA